This is an unclassified non-coding RNA of Callithrix jacchus (white-tufted-ear marmoset), 271 nucleotides long. It matches the Rfam family "Metazoan signal recognition particle RNA". Rfam says of the family: The signal recognition particle (SRP) is a universally conserved ribonucleoprotein. It is involved in the co-translational targeting of proteins to membranes. Lineage: Eukaryota; Metazoa; Chordata; Mammalia; Primates; Cebidae. The record is from Ensembl.
GGUGGCAUGUACCUGUAGUCCAGCUACUCGGGAGGCUGAGGUGGGAGGAUCGCUUGAGCCCAGGAGUUGUGGACUAUAGUGCGCUAUGCCAAUCGAGUGUCUAUACUAAUUCAGCAUCAAUAAGGUGACCUCUGGGGAGCGGGGGAUCACCAGUUUGCCUAAGGAGGGGUGAACCGGCUCAGGUCAGAAAUGGAGUAGGUCAGUAGUAGGGUCACACCUGUGAAUAGCCACUGCACUCCAGCCUGGGCAACAUAGUGAGACCCCGUCUCUU